RNAcentral lists this ribosomal RNA (482 nucleotides) under uncultured bacterium. RNAcentral describes it as "partial 16S ribosomal RNA". It matches the Rfam family "Bacterial small subunit ribosomal RNA", at positions 28 to 507 of the family's 1533-position model. The record is from RNAcentral.
GACGAACGCUGGCGGCGUGCUUAACACAUGCAAGUCGAACGCUGAAGCUCAGCUUGCUGGGUGGAUGAGUGGCGAACGGGUGAGUAACACGUGAGUAACCUGCCCUCUUCUUUGGGAUAACGCCCGGAAACGGGUGCUAAUACUGGAUAUUCACUGAUUCUCGCAUGGGGGUUGGUGGAAAGGUUUUUUCUGGUGGGGGAUGGGCUCGCGGCCUAUCAGCUUGUUGGUGGGGUGAUGGCCUACCAAGGCUUUGACGGGUAGCCGGCCUGAGAGGGUGACCGGUCACAUUGGGACUGAGAUACGGCCCAGACUCCUACGGGAGGCAGCAGUGGGGAAUAUAGCACAAUGGGCGAAAGCCUGAUGCAGCGACGCCGCGUGAGGGAUGGAGGCCUUCGGGUUGUAAACCUCUUUCGCUCAUGGUCAAGCCGCAGCGUGGGGUUGUGGUGAGGGUAGUGGGUAAAGAAGCGCCGGCUAACUACGUG